CCCUUAGAUGUUCUGGGCCGCACGCGCGCUACACUGACGAAUGCAACGAGCUUAUAACCUUGGCCGAAAGGUCUGGGUAAUCUCCAAAUUUCGUCGUGAUGGGGAUAGAUUAUUGCAAUUAUUAAUCUUCAACGAGGAAUGCCUAGUAAGCGCAAGUCAUCAGCUUGCGUUGAUUACGUCCCUGCCCUUUGUACACACCGCCCGUCGCUCCUACCGAUUGAAUGGUCCGGUGAAGCGUUCGGACCGUGGCCUUUGGACGGUUCGCCGUCUGUUGGCUGCGGGAAGUUCGUUAAACCUUAUCAUUUAGAGGACGGAGAAGUCGUAACA
This 327-nucleotide ribosomal RNA is filed under the name uncultured eukaryote. RNAcentral's name for it is "partial 18S ribosomal RNA". It matches the Rfam family "Eukaryotic small subunit ribosomal RNA", at positions 1470 to 1796 of the family's 1831-position model. The record is from RNAcentral.